Felis catus (domestic cat) is the source of this 2774-nucleotide long non-coding RNA. RefSeq lists it as uncharacterized. The record is from RefSeq and is a predicted model, not a curated record. NCBI's taxonomy places the organism in Eukaryota, Metazoa, Chordata, Mammalia, Carnivora, Felidae. The transcript has 2 exons.
AGAAAAUAAAGAAAAAAAAAAACAAUUUAAGCAAAAAACAGAAGCAAAGAAAAAGAAUAAAUGAAUCAGCAAACAGAAUGAAAUCCAAACGAAGUCACAUACAGUUUUCCCUAGAACUGAAACUACUAAACACUUUAUAGUCUGUAUCCUAAGCAAGUGGAGUGACUUGUGCUGGACUCUAAGAGAAGAGGGGAAGACUUCUUUAGUGAAUUGGCUAACAUGGUUGUGAGAGCUGGAAAUUCUAAAGUCUGCAAAGACCAGUAGGCUGGAGACCCAGCAAAGAGCUAAUGUUGAAGUUUGAGAAUAUGGAGACAGUCUGGACACAGACAUAGGUGAGUAGCAAAAAGCACCUCUGAAAUUUACAGGUAAUUACGAUGUUCUCUAGAAUGGACCGUCUAGCAAGUGGUAUGUGCUUACUUGGUAAAUAUAAUCUUAUAAAUUAGAAUAUUGAGACUGAGAAUACACAGCAUUUUCAAGUAUGCACUGGUGUAUAUCUUCCACUAAAGACAAAAAUCAGGAUUAUGGUACGAUGUAUACAUUUAACAAUAUAAUCUAGGAUGAUACAACGUGUGCCCCUGGAAGUAAGCAGCACUGCCACCUUAGGUGGAGAUGUGUGGCAUGAAAAUGAGGAGUGAUACAGUGGGGGUAAGAAAGAGGGCACAGAGAUAAAUGGAGUUGCAAAGACCCUAGAGGCUUGGGGUAAUAGAGGCACAGGGAAAGAGAAGACAGGACCUGUGUUAGUUUCCUAGGGCUCCUGUCACACAGUACCACAAGUCAGCGUCUAAACACACUGAGAAAUUACUGUCUCACAGUUCUGGAGGUUCUUAGAAGUUUGAACUGUUGGCAGGGCCAUACUUUAUCUCAAGAAUUGAGUCUUUCUUCUAACUUCUGGGGACUGUCAGCUCUCCUUGGCCUAGCCUGGACAGUAGAUGCAUCACUCAGUCCCUGCCUUCAUCAUCACACAUCCUUCAGAGUGUCUCUAAAUUUUCCUCAAUAAGGAUACCAGUUAUUGGGUUAGAGUUGACCUGAUUCUAGUAUUACCUCAUUUUACUUGAUUACAUCUGCAAAGAUCCUAUUGCCCAAUAAGUUUACAUUUACAGGAACUUGAGGGUUAUGACUUAAGCAUAUGUAUUUGAGGCACACUAUGUAAUCCAUAACAGGGCUAAAAGGGACUAGUUAAAUGUUAUCAAGGGUUAAAGUGCAGUACAGGAUUUAAGGUUGGGGGUGUAUACAGGGACAUUAAGUAUAUGAUUGAUAUGUUUGGAGAGGGAGUAAGAGGGUGAAGGAAAUCCUAGGAAAGGGAUCAUGGAUGAGGAAAAAGUUGGGUCAAAGGCACACAAACCUUUCUGCCUAUGAAGGGUUGAAGAACAAGGGGGUAGAAGGAAGAUAGUUGGCUUGUGAAUGGAGUCUUGGGGGUAUUCAGUGCUCCAAACUGAGAUAAAGGGUGGGAAGGAAAGAUGAUGUGUGGAGAACAUAAAGGGCACCAUCAGAGUUUGUCCAACAGUGGGCAUCAGUAGGCUGAAGGGCCCAUGAGAAAGUAUCAGGGAGUAUAGGUUUGUUGGUAUUAGGUGCAGGUUCAUGAGGAAACUAAGGACUCCUGAUAAUUGAUGCCUGGGACAUUGAGGGCAGUGGACAUAAAAAAUGGGCUGAAGUCAUUGGAAUGGGAGGGAAGAUAAAUGGCAAUGGAAAAAGGAGGAUGUUUGGGCUGAGGGUGCUAGGAUCAGGCAAAUCAGCUUUUGGUCUAGAGGUCUAAAGUGCACCAAAAAUAAGUAAAAUUCACCUUAUAGAUGAACAGUGAAGAAGACUAGGAGGGUCAUUUGCAGGGAAAAAGUUAGGUUUCAUGCAAAUCUAAUGGUCCCAGGGAUAGAGAGAUUGAGGUCACAAGAAGGGUAGAGAGGAGGCAGGAGGAGAGAUCUGGGGUGAUGAAAUUUGCAGGUGUUCAUGUGGAGGGCAAAAAUUCAUCCUACUCAUUAAUUCUCUGAUUUACAUAUGACACAAUUUAUAAUUUCAGCACAUAAGGCAAUAACUUGCUUCUAUAAAAUACCCAGUAAUCCUUUCAAUUGAAUAGACAGUAAAGGACCACAGGCAAAAUUUGAGUAAACAGUGAGACUCAACAUUUUCGCUUCUUUGAGGAUACCAUGCGCAAGGUUUGACCAUGGAAGAGAUCAUGUGGAAACCAUGAGAAGAAAAUGGAUUCUGCCAACAAUCUCAAAGGUCCUGGGAGUGACUGGUGACCUAGAGGCUCCUGAGAAGAUCCAAUACCUCAUGAAACUUUGAUUUUUAACCAUAUAGGGCCCUAAACAGAAAGCCCAGCCAAGUCCACUGAAAUUCAGACUUGUUAAUAAAAGAAUUACUUUUUUAUUACUUUCCUACCUAUGUGCAACUGGAUAUGGCAGUGAUAGAAAACAACUCCACACAGGCAUAUCAUUAACUGUAAAAUGAAAAUUAUAAACUUCAGAUCUUGAGACAUAACCAUUGGUGAGAUUGAGUUAAAUCAUCCCUCUUAUGCAAUUUCAUAUAUACUCUGAAAUUGCAUAACACACACAGACACUAAAAUAUUUGUACCUGGUUCAAUGUUAUGGUCAUAUGAGACUUAAUGUGGAUCAAAUGGUUUACCUUAAUGCUACACAAAGGGGUCUUUUCACACUACUAGAAAUGGAUUUACUGCAACACAAAAACACAUCAUACCUCACAGUAACUGUAAAGGAGACCUUGUUGCAACAUUCAUGUUUAUGGAAUUAUGCAAUUGAAUAUUACCCUUGCAAACUGAUAUU